UAACUAAAGAGGUGCCAAAAUUAAGCUUCUAACUUAAACACCAAGCAAAAUAUUGUUUACACCUUU
This 66-nucleotide transfer RNA is filed under the name Silvanus unidentatus. RNAcentral describes it as "tRNA-Ser". Lineage: Eukaryota; Metazoa; Arthropoda; Insecta; Coleoptera; Silvanidae. The record is from RNAcentral.